UAAAGUUCAAGUGGGAUUAGAUACCCCACUAUGCCCAACCGUAAAACCAAUCUACACCACACACGCCAGGGUAUUACGAGCCAAGCUUAAAACCCAAAGGACUUGACGGUGCCCCAGCCAACUAGAGGAGCCUGUCCUAAAAUCGAUAAUCCCCGUUCAACCUUACCACUUCUUGCUUGAUUCAGUUAGUAUACUUCCGUCGUAAGCUUGCCAUUUGAGUGACUCAUAGCAGGCCCAAUGAUAUUCCAUAAAUACGUCAGGUCAAGGUGCAGCAUAAGAAGUGGGCUGAGAUGGGCUACAAUUUCUAAUUUAGAACACACGGAACAUUGAAUGAAACACAGAUGUGAAGGUGGAUCUAGUAGUAAAAAGAAAAUAAAGUGUUCUUUUUAAUAAUGGCACUGGGACGCGUACAAACCGCCCGUCACCCUCCUCGAUAGACUAUAAUAGAUAAAUAACAUAAACCCCACAAUCAGAGGAGGCAAGUCGUAACAUGGUAAGUGUACCGGAAGGUGCACUUGGAUAGCAAAAAGUAGCUUAUUACAAAGCCUCUCGCUUACACCGAGAAGAUGUCUGCUAAACCAGGCCAUUUUGAGCUAACUGUCAAGCCUACAAAUCAACGUAUAAACCUAACUUCAACCAAUGUAAAAUAAAACAUUUUAUUGCUUAAGUAAAGGCGAUUGAAAAACCACUAAGAGCUUCAACUUUAGUACCGCAAGGGAAAGAUGAAAUAUAAGUGAAAUAAAAUAAAGCACAGAAUAGUAGAGAUUAAAACUCGUACCUUUUGCAUCAUGGUCUAGCAAGUCAUUAUCAAGCAUAGAGACACUCAAGUUUGAUUUCCCGAAACUAGGCGAGCUACUUCAAAAUAGCACUUAGAGCCAACCCGUCUCUGUUGCAAAAGAGUGGGAGAAUUUUCAAGUAGUGGUGACAAGCCUAUCGAGCCUAGAGAUAGCUGGUUAUUCAAGAAAAGAAUUUUAGUUCUACCUUAAGUUUUUAUAUGAAUAUAAACAUAAUAACACACUUAAGAGCUACUCAAAUAAGGCACAGCUUAUUUGAAAAAGGGUACAGCCUAAACUUUAGGGUAAAAUACUAAAAACUUAACAAAGUAGGCCUAAAAGCAGCCAUCUUUCAAAAAGCGUUAAAGCUUUAUUUUUAAUCUUUAAAAUUCAAUUUAGCAUUAUUAACCCAUCAUCAGUAUUGAAUAAACUCAUAAAUUAUGAAAAAUAUUAUGCUAGAACUAGUAACAAGAAAAUGAAUUUCUCCAAAGUGUAAACAUAAACCAAAAUGGACAACCCAUUGGUGAUUAACGACUUUGUACUUACUAUAGUAAAACAACUAGAAAACUCUAUAUUUUAGUGCCGUUAACCUUACACAAGAACUCUUCUGGAAAGAUUAAAAGGAAGAGAAGGAACUCGGCAAAUUUUAACCCCGCCUGUUUACCAAAAACAUCGCCUUUUGCACAAAUAUAAAAGGUCCAGCCUGCCCAGUGUUUUUAAUCAACGGCCGCGUGAUUUAAGCGCGCUAAGGUAGCAUAAUAAUUUGUUCUUUAAAUGAGGACUUGUAUCAACGGCAUCACGAGGGUUAUACUGUCUCCUCUCCCCAAUCAGUGAAACUAAUCUCCCUGUGAAAAAGCAGGGAUAAAAUUAUAAGACGAGAAGACCCCAUGGAGCUUAAAAUACAGCAGCAACUAUAAUAGUAAUAUCAAUACAAUUUUUAGCCAUGUGUGCUAAUUUUAGGUUGGGGUGACCAUGGAGCAAAAUAAAACCUCCACGACGAAAAGAGUAUACACCCUUAUCCAAGAGAUACUCCUCUAAGAAUUAUUAAAAUAACGUCUAAUGAUCCGACUAUCGACCAACGGACCAAGUUACCCUGGGGAUAACAGCGCAAUCCACUCUGAAAGCUCCUAUCGACGAGUGGGCUUACGACCUCGAUGUUGGAUCAGGAUAUCCCAGUGGUGCAGCCGCUACUAAAGGUUUGUUUGUUCAACAAUU
This 1988-nucleotide unclassified non-coding RNA is filed under the name Occidozyga laevis. Its description in RNAcentral is "partial contains tRNA-Phe, 12S ribosomal RNA, tRNA-Val, and 16S ribosomal RNA". It matches the Rfam family "Bacterial large subunit ribosomal RNA", at positions 174 to 2589 of the family's 2925-position model. The record is from RNAcentral. Lineage: Eukaryota; Metazoa; Chordata; Amphibia; Anura; Dicroglossidae.